Aedes albopictus (Asian tiger mosquito) is the source of this 649-nucleotide long non-coding RNA. RefSeq lists it as uncharacterized. NCBI's taxonomy places the organism in Eukaryota, Metazoa, Arthropoda, Insecta, Diptera, Culicidae. The record is from RefSeq and is a predicted model, not a curated record. The transcript is spliced from 3 exons.
GUCAGUCGGUCAGUAUUGUUGACCUGCUAGUAGUCUAGCAUCUUUAUCAGACAUGAUAUUGUGAAAUAUUUCGAGCAAACGUGAUACGAUCCACCCCUCUGAAAAGUCGCCAAAAAUUCUUUUAGCUUACCGUCAACCACAAAAGGUCUGCUGAAAAGAGUUUGGAUAGCUUUCCCCCACAACAACAGGAAAUUUUAUAAUUUCAAAUACGCCAUCUAUAUAAAUAAAAAUGGCAUGGUGUUUGUAUGUCACGAAUAGGCUCCGGAACGGGCCAACGAAUCCACACCAUUCUUUUAGUGUUUCAUUCGUGUAGGGCUCCGACGUGUUCGUACGAAAAAAUAAUUGGGAAAAUCGACCGAGAACGCACCAAAAACGAGAAAGUUUGAAAUUCCAUUUUGCAGGGCGUUUUUCUACAGGGCUGCAUGUCAAAAACACAGUAGGCAAGCAGAACGACGUUUGCCGGGACAGCUAGUAUUCAAUAAAAAUACAAGAAAACUUUAAAAGAAAAUGAAUAGGAAGCUUCUGGAGCUUGUUCGGGAGUUAUUUUCCCUUUAAAUUAACCAUGUGCUCAAAAGGGGAUCAAUUAUGUAACCCAUUUUUGAAAACUACAUCAUAAGACAUGCCUCCAUAAAAACACAGUUUCGAAAAC